AUUGAACGCUGGCGGCAGGCCUAACACAUGCAAGUCGAGCGGUAACAUUUCUAGCUUGCUAGAAGAUAACGAGCGGCGGACGGGUGAGUAACGCGUAGAAAUCUACCUAGUAGUGGGGGAUAGCCCAGAGAAAUUUGGAUUAAUACCGCAUACGCCCUACGGGGAAAGCGGGGGAUCUUCGGACCUCGUGCUAUUAGAUGAGUCUGCGUCGGAUUAGCUUGUUGGUGAGGUAAUGGCUCACCAAGGCGACGAUCCGUAGCUGGUCUGAGAGGAUGACCAGCCACACUGGAACUGAGACACGGUCCAGACUCCUACGGGAGGCAGCAGUGGGGAAUAUUGCACAAUGGGCGCAAGCCUGAUGCAGCCAUGCCGCGUGUGUGAAGAAGGCCUUAGGGUUGUAAAGCACUUUUGGCGGGGACGAUAAUGACGGUACCCGCAGAAUAAGCCCCGGCUAACUUCGUG
Molecule: ribosomal RNA, 462 nt
Filed under: uncultured bacterium
Lineage: Bacteria
Description: bacterial SSU rRNA
Rfam family: Bacterial small subunit ribosomal RNA
Source: RNAcentral